AAUCCAUACAUUGGACAUUUCCAAAUUAACUCCUUAAAUUGUUCCCAAGCUUCAUAUAACAUUUCAUCCUCUAAUUGCUAAAAAGACGUGAUGUCGUUUCUUAGCUU
Molecule: non-coding RNA, 107 nt
Organism: Gossypium hirsutum (cotton)
Lineage: Eukaryota; Viridiplantae; Streptophyta; Magnoliopsida; Malvales; Malvaceae
Source: Rfam